Long non-coding RNA from Ctenopharyngodon idella (grass carp), 1054 nucleotides. RefSeq lists it as uncharacterized. The transcript has 3 exons. NCBI's taxonomy places the organism in Eukaryota, Metazoa, Chordata, Actinopteri, Cypriniformes, Xenocyprididae. The record is from RefSeq and is a predicted model, not a curated record.
CUUUGGCUCAUGUUUUCUUCCUCAGGCAAAUGCUUAAAAUGGCGGUUUUCAGUGUAUGAUUUAUUUUUUUCUUUUUGCCGCUUCUUUUGAAUCCGAUCUAGUACAAUAAUAGCCCUGCAGGAACCUGCCAUCACUCUAUCCCACAACUGUCCACUAUCAUUAAAAUUUGUGAGAUGGGCCAAACCACAACACUCUGUCUUGCGCUUUGUUUUUGUUCAUCAGUUUUCCUUUGCGGCAUUUAUGUGGAUGAAUGGCCUUAGAAAGGUCAACGCUGAACAUUGAUUACACACCUCGCUGUCAGAGGGGCCUGGGGGAGAGGGGAGCUGAGCAGAGCGAUUUACAGGCUGUCGGGUUGGCUUUGUUCCCGUGUAAGUCAAGUCUCGGUGGAGAAGAGACGCAUCAGUGCUCCAAAUGGCCCCAGCCGUCUCAUUGCAUUAUCUUCAAAUGGCACGUCUGAUGGAGAAGUUAGAGAACAGCUCUCCUAGCUUCUCUCAUUUAGAGAUGCCUCCCUUAUUAACAUGUACAUGGGUUUGUGCUGUUAUAUGUCCUCUCAAGGAAUGGCUUCAUAAGAGUCAAAAACAACAUCAACAGUGCAUUAAUACUGGGUCACCUAUUAUAGAUGGUGAUUAUGAGGAAGCUUUGAAAGGUGAGAAACCAAAUCCUUAUUCUGCCAGCGGCCAAUGCGUGUCUGCCUGGAGGGAAAGGAACUAUGCACAUGAAAACUUGAUGAAUUCAUGAAUGCCUGUAAAUAAAUAGUUAAAUAAUGCCUGUAAAAAAAUAGUUAAAUAAAUAGUUAAUAAAAAUAUUUAUAUUUAUAUAGAUGGCUAGUCUUUUAUACAUAUAUAAUUUAUUAGGGGUGUAACGGUACACGUCGUCCCGAAUGCAGUCACGCGAUGAAUGCAGUUGGUCACAGGCGAUCCACACUCCAAUCCAGAAGGAGGCGUACAUGGUAAUGCAAAACUGUUUGAUACCAGUAAAAUGCGCAGAAGAAGAGACGAUGAUCUAUAUGUUUAUGUAAUAAAGGGUUAGUUCACCCAAAAAUGAAAAUUAUGUC